GACGGGGGGUCCUAGCGUUGUUCGGAAUUACUGGGCGUAAAGGGCUCGUAGGUGGCCAACUAAGUCAGACGUGAAAUCCCUCGGCUUAACCGGGGAACUGCGUCUGAUACUGGAUGGCUUGAGUGUGGGAGAGGGAUGCGGAAUUCCAGGUGUAGCGGUGAAAUGCGUAGAUAUCUGGAGGAACACCUGUGGCGAAGGCGGCCAUCUGGACCAGCACUGACGCUGAGGCACGAAAGCGUGGGGAGCAAACAGG
Molecule: ribosomal RNA, 253 nt
Filed under: uncultured bacterium
Lineage: Bacteria
Description: partial 16S ribosomal RNA
Rfam family: Bacterial small subunit ribosomal RNA
Source: RNAcentral